UACGAAGGGGGCUAGCGUUGCUCGGAAUUACUGGGCGUAAAGGGCGCGUAGGCGGAUAUCUAAGUCAGGGGUGAAAGCCCGGGGCUCAACCUCGGAAUUGCCUUUGAUACUGGAUAUCUUGAGUUCGGGAGAGGUGAGUGGAAUGCCGAGUGUAGAGGUGAAAUUCGUAGAUAUUCGACGGAACACCAGUGGCGAAGGCGACUCACUGGCCCGAUACUGACGCUGAGGCGCGAAAGCGUGGGGAGCAAACAGG
This 253-nucleotide ribosomal RNA is filed under the name uncultured bacterium. RNAcentral's name for it is "partial 16S ribosomal RNA". It matches the Rfam family "Bacterial small subunit ribosomal RNA", at positions 524 to 776 of the family's 1533-position model. The record is from RNAcentral.